RNAcentral lists this transfer RNA (74 nucleotides) under uncultured spirochete. RNAcentral describes it as "tRNA-Arg". It matches the Rfam family "tRNA". From Rfam's summary of the family: Transfer RNA (tRNA) molecules are approximately 80 nucleotides in length. Their secondary structure includes four short double-helical elements and three loops (D, anti-codon, and T loops). Further hydrogen bonds mediate the characteristic L-shaped molecular structure. tRNAs have two regions of fundamental functional importance: the anti-codon, which is responsible for specific mRNA codon recognition, and the 3' end, to which the tRNAs corresponding amino acid is attached (by aminoacyl-tRNA synthetases). tRNAs cope with the degeneracy of the genetic code in two manners: having more than one tRNA (with a specific anti-codon) for a particular amino acid; and 'wobble' base-pairing, i.e. permitting non-standard base-pairing at the 3rd anti-codon position. Lineage: Bacteria; Pseudomonadati; Spirochaetota; Spirochaetia; Spirochaetales. The record is from RNAcentral.
GACCCAGUAGCUCAGCAGGAUAGAGCGACUGCCUCCUAAGCAGCAGGUCGGCCGUUCGAAUCGGCCCUGGGCCA